RNAcentral lists this transfer-messenger RNA (140 nucleotides) under Pseudomonas sp. Its description in RNAcentral is "partial transfer-messenger RNA". It matches the Rfam family "transfer-messenger RNA", at positions 228 to 374 of the family's 374-position model. From Rfam's summary of the family: Bacterial tmRNA, also known as 10Sa RNA or SsrA, is named for its dual tRNA and mRNA-like properties. Its role is to liberate the mRNA from a stalled ribosome. The record is from RNAcentral. RNAcentral also lists the same sequence under 1 other name. Lineage: Bacteria; Pseudomonadati; Pseudomonadota; Gammaproteobacteria; Pseudomonadales; Pseudomonadaceae.
CGUCUCGAAAAUUCAGCGGAUCGCAAGCGACCAGCCUGUCCGGCGGCGGGUCGUGAGUUAAAUCAAAUGACGUGACUAAGCAUGUAGUACUGUCUGUGGAGGACUUGCGGACGCGGGUUCAAUUCCCGCCAGCUCCACCA